This 975-nucleotide long non-coding RNA is filed under the name Homo sapiens (human). Its description in RNAcentral is "HSALNT0281533". Lineage: Eukaryota; Metazoa; Chordata; Mammalia; Primates; Hominidae. The record is from RNAcentral.
AUUGGAGAGCAUGGUUGUGCCAAGGCUCUCUAGCCAGGACAGCCCAUCCUCAGGCCACCCAGCUCCGUGAGUGAGUUCCCUGCACAGCCUGUGACUGACUCACCGAUGCAGUGGGGCUGAUCUUCACAUGGCACCCCAAGCAGGCUUUUCCAGUUCACAUCUGCCAACAAGGCAGCCAAGGGGGUGGUUUAGGAAGUAGAGAAAAGGUGAAAAGGCAGCGGAGGGAGCCGGCUGUCCUGUGUCUCCUCUUUUUCCUGCCCCCAGUGACUUGCAUUUUCUCUGAGACAGCUGCCAUUCUAGUCUCCCAGCCAUUCUUAGGAAGAGACGUGCCUGUCUCUGGGAAGAGGCAACUUCUCUGCAUGUCAGAGUUGGAUGCCUUGAUCUAGAGGGAAACCGGUGCUUUUCCCCAUUUAUCAUCCUCUUACAGAAGAAUUUCACUUGCAGCAACUUUGAACUGCCUCUGAACUCACUCAUGCUGCAGAAGAAUCCAUGCCUGUUUGUUGAUAUUUUGUUUUUCAUGCCUGAAGAGCACAACUGGAACAAACAAGAAGUUGGAGAGUAAGAUGCUUGCCAUAACAAAUCUGUCUGGCCUACAGUGCAUGCAAAUAUACUUGUAAGAAAAUUACCACCCCCAACUUCGCUCAAUGGGUGUCUUUGUUAUUGUACAAUUGUUAAAUGCAUUUCACAAUGAAGUUAUGUUAGAGUGUCAGGCCUCAAAUGGAGAUAAAGCAAUUCCUAAACAUAGUAGGUGGGUGUGAGUAGACAGCUAUUUCUUGUUCGAAUCACUACCACCAGCAUUAUCACUGAGAAGAAGAAUCAACAGGUCUCUUAGAGUGGAAACUGGGACCAGCCCCUCUCCUUCCUCCUGCCUGCACUCUCUGCCCAGGAGGUAGCAAGUUUGAAUCUAUUCUAAUGGCAUCCUUGAAAGGAUAUAAGCUUGUUUGGGGGAGCAAGGUCAGUCACCAUAACUCCAAC